AGGUAAAGUGCCUAGGAUUAAAAGAUGACUUGGACAUGGUUGUGAAGUUUGAUGGGGGCAGAGAAAUAGGUAGAAAGCUUGGAUUUAAGUUGUGGCACUUUCCAAUUUUACUAUAAACAAGGGGAACGAGAAUUUGUAUGUAAGAUUUACAAUUUGGUGGCUUCCAGGUGAUAAUUUAUUAUUUAAUAGAUAAUGGCAUAUUUGUUGACUCUGUUACAUUAUGUCAUAUGUAUAAAUUUAUGGUAUAUGUUGCUUCUAUAUUCUUGUCUCCAUUGGUUCCACCGCAAAAGGAUGUCGAUUUUGAAUCUCCGGAAGCUAAAAAACAAAGGCGUGGUUCUACAUCUACUAAGAGAUCCUGUGCUAUAGAAGUCCACAAUCUCUCAAAGAGGAUGUUGUUGCUGAGGUUUGCAAGGAGUUAAAAGAGUUGCCAUCAAGGACAAAAAGAAUGUCAAUAAAAAUUGGACCAAUCAAUUUUGCUACAAGAAAGAAGAAAAAUGAAAACCAUUACAUUUACUUUUGUUCGUAAGCCAAAUUUAUUUUAGAAGAGUUACAAGUGAAUUUUUCCCGUGCAUGAAUCAAU
Vigna unguiculata (cowpea) is the source of this 580-nucleotide long non-coding RNA. NCBI's taxonomy places the organism in Eukaryota, Viridiplantae, Streptophyta, Magnoliopsida, Fabales, Fabaceae. The record is from RefSeq and is a predicted model, not a curated record.